Molecule: ribosomal RNA, 761 nt
Filed under: uncultured Auricularia
Lineage: Eukaryota; Fungi; Basidiomycota; Agaricomycetes; Auriculariales; Auriculariaceae
Description: eukaryotic LSU rRNA
Rfam family: 5.8S ribosomal RNA (bases 211-364)
Source: RNAcentral
CUUGGUCAUUUAGAGGAAGUAAAAGUCGUAACAAGGUUUCCGUAGGUGAACCUGCGGAAGGAUCAUUAAAGAUUCACGGCUGUGCGCUUCGGCUGCACGUCGUAUAAACCUCACACACAUCGUGCACAACCUCGGUCGCGGUCUUAAUCGACCGCCUCCGCCUUUCACAUGCAACAAGCAGUCCAGAAUGUAAAAACCAUAACAAAAUACAACUUUCAACAACGGAUCUCUUGGCUCUCGCAUCGAUGAAGAACGCAGCGAAAUGCGAUAAGUAAUGUGAAUUGCAGAAUUCAGUGAAUCAUCGAAUCUUUGAACGCAUCUUGCGCUCCUUGGUAUUCCAUGGAGCAUGCCUGUUUGAGUGUCACGUAAACCCUCACACCUGCGAUGUCAAAAUCGUGGGUCGUGGAUUUGGAUCGUGCCGUAAUUGGCUCGUCCUGAAAUGCAUUAGCUUGUGCUCGUUAGAGUGCUCGGCAUGGUGUGAUAAUUAUCUGCGCCGUUAUGCCUUAGGCCUCUUCUGUGUGCGCUGCUUCCAAUCGUCCCUCGUGGACAACAUUACAUUUAAAGCUUUGGCCUCAAAUCAGGUAGGACUACCCGCUGAACUUAAGCAUAUCAAUAAGCGGAGGAAAAGAAACUAACAAGGAUUCCCCUAGUAACGGCGAGUGAAGCGGGAAGAGCUCAAAUUUGAAAUCUGGCGGUCUCAGGCCGUCCGAGUUGUAAUCUAGAGAGGUGUUUUCCGUGCUGGACCGUGUACAAGUCUCCUG